UUUUUCUUUUUUUUUUUUUUUUUUGAGAUGGAGUCUCGCUUUGUCACCCAGGCUGGAGUGCAGUGGCGCGAUCUCAGCUCACUGCAACCUCUGCCUCCCGGGUUCAAGCGAUUCUCCUGCCUCAGCAUCCUGAGUAGCUGGGAUUACAGGCACCCGCCACCACGGCAGGCUAAUUUUUGUAUAUUUAAUAGAAACGGGGUUUCACCAUGCUGGACAGGCUGGUCUUGAACUCCUGACCUCAGGUGUUCUGCCCGCCUCGGCCUCCCAAAGUGCUGGGAUUACAGGUGUGAUCCUGUAAUCCCACUGCACCUGGCCAAGUCACAUUAAUUUUGAAUCAUCCACUUAUGGAAAGGAACAGAAGUUAAAAAGUAUUAACCAGGAAAAACUAUUAACACAGGUGCUCAUCCGUGUGUGUGCGCGCGCGCGCACACACACACACACACAUUUCAAGCCAGUCUCCUGAAGGAAGAGGCACUAAUGGCAGGUGCCUAGAGUCCCCACCAGAGCAGCUGCCUUCCUCCCUUCUCCCUUUGCUCGGCACCUGCCAGAGCAGCCACAGAAGCCAGGUUCUGAGGGCUGUGGAAGCUUGGGACCAGGAACGACAGGCUAGUAACUAUGUUCUUCACCAUCCUCAAAGUCCUGUGAACCCAAAGACAGGACUUGCAAAACUGAGGAAGGGGGUGCUUUUCCCUGUCCUUGUCCCUGUGAUAACCAGGGCUGCCUAGUCUCAUCCCCAGCCUCUGGGUUCCCUCCCCUGCUCUAGACUUCAGGGCAGUUAGAAUGGAUGACUCCUGCUGGAUCUAGGGCUAAAUAGAAACUUCUCUGUCAUAUCUUCAGUCUGAUGAAGGACUGAGCCCCCAUUCAAAGAGGUCAGAUUUGUGGGUAGGCAAGAGCUCAGGAAUGAAGAACCAAAAAGGAGGCUCUCAACCCCUCUCCAAGACCAGAUACUCUAUGUACUCCCAUUAACUUCACAACUAAGUGCAGAUGCUCAGUGAAUUCAGAGACAACUUAGCCCUGCCCCACCCUUCCUGGUGUCACCUGGCACUGGGAACACACAGAUUGCAGCAGAAACCUGUUGGUUCCAUUUGCACUCAGAGCAAACCAAGCAGCACCUUGAUUGCCACGUUUCAUCCAGCCACUCUGUCAAAAUCAAAACUGGUUGCCUCACCAGCCCUGAUGUGGCAUGGCCCAACCAUGUCCCUGCCCCAUUUAAAUGGCCAGAGAAAACUACAUGGCGAGUAGAUUAGGUUGAAGCCUUGCUUGGGGAAGGGACUUGAGCACAGGAGAAAGGCUUGAGCUCCACAACUCCCUGCUUGCUCAGACAUUGGAGCUUUUCUGAGAUGAAGUACUCCCCAGGCUACGUGGGAACGGCCCUCUGUGGUCUGGGCAGGCUGGCUGAGUGAGAGAGGUCUGUGCUCUCAGGGAAAAGGAGAGAAGGAAGCUGGGUCAAGAGACCCUGAAGGGGAGGGUCCAUGUCUGGAGUGCAGGGAACUGAGCCCUGCUGGCUACUUGACCUGGGUGGGCUGCUGGCUUUGCCCUGGAAGAGUUGACUAUGUGGGCCUUCAUGUGUCUAGAGGAUUUUUCUUCUCCAGCAUGUAACUACCUUGAGAAUGGAUGUGAUAUGUGAAAAUUUAAGCUUAAUACAAAAGCACGUCUUCUGCAAAUGGUGAGUCAAACUGGUGAAAUCUUCCAGGUAAACUCUGAGCAAGAAAAAAGAGGACAUGACUUUAGGAAAAUCCCAAACUAGGUUUGGUUUUAAAAUGUUCUUCUUGGCUGGCUCUCCUCUCCUGCAAGUUGCCUUUAUCCACUUGGGGUGUGAUAUCUGAACUGAAAAAGCUGCACCAAUCUGAGGAUACUGGUCCAAGAAGAGACAAGACCAGAGACUAUGAGGCGCAAGCAGAGAGCAUCCACACAGCGUCCAACCAGAAAGGCCAGUGUCCUUCCUCUAUAAAGGCAGCCAGGGACAGAUGUCCCAGAGCCAGGAGGGAGAGAGAGAGAACACAGCACCUGCCACUAGUCAAGAGAAAGGAGCUUUAAGUUGUACAAUCACUGCCAGACCUCAAGGCCCUGGCAAGCCAUCCAACUAGGGCAUUUUCAGGAACCCAAGAUUCUCAGAAAUGAUACUCCUCCCCUCCCAAAAUAAAAAAAGCUCCUUUAUAGUCAAAAACGAAAACAAGUAAUCAAAAUAUACAAAGCACAUGUAUCAAAUUUAAAUUUCCUUUAUCAGAAUGAUGAUCUGGUUCACCUAUGAGAACUGGAUCUACAACCCCAUGUAAAAAACAAACAGGUACAGGACAUCAGCAACAACAAAAAAACAAUAAAAGAUGAUUUUACUAUCUCUGACGACUCCAACUGCAUACAGAGAAAACGGAUAAGAUUAGCCACUUUUUAUAGGCUUUUUCUUCAGGAGAGACUAACCUCACCCACCUCUCAACUCUGCAGCCCACAAAUGCCUUCUACUGAAGGCAACAACAAAAGUUAACCCUUUGGCAGUGUGCAAAACCACAAUGAGCUGUCCUGUGACAGGGCUACAUACC
Molecule: long non-coding RNA, 2537 nt
Organism: Macaca fascicularis (crab-eating macaque)
Lineage: Eukaryota; Metazoa; Chordata; Mammalia; Primates; Cercopithecidae
Source: Ensembl